This 3309-nucleotide long non-coding RNA is filed under the name Callithrix jacchus (white-tufted-ear marmoset). Its description in RNAcentral is "lncRNA (ENSCJAG00000084890.1)". The record is from RNAcentral. Lineage: Eukaryota; Metazoa; Chordata; Mammalia; Primates; Cebidae.
ACCACCCAGAGUCUUUCCCCGUGAACUUGCUUUCUUCGCCCUCAUGCCCACCUAGGUCUCCCUCUCCCAAACCCACAGCACACGAUGCACAAACUCAAGCCUCCCCCAGUGUAGGGAGCAGAAUCCCCUCCCAGCUCUUCCUCAAAGCAAUAAGUGGGGCCCAGGCCCCAAUCCAGUCCUCAGGGUCCUCACCUCUCUUCUGCACUUCACCCUCUCAGUGACCAGUUUCAUGAAUAUGCAUCAGAAGUGUUCUCACCUCCUGCCAAUCAGGAACUCUGCAGUGCCUCCUGCUGGGCCCAGCCACCCCUCUAGGCCACCUCCAGCUGCCUGAGCUUGCUCCUACUGUCUCCCUCCAGCUCCCCAGCCCAGCCUGGGGCUCAGGACCCCACCCAUGGACUCCCUUUUCUGAGACUCACUAGGAGACCAAGCUCUUCUGCAUUAAACUCCCAGCACUCCCCCUGACCCUGACCCUGACCCUGACCCUGUCUCCCUCACACAGCUAGGGUCAGAGCAGAGAGAGACACACAGAGAUUAGCAGCCAGCACAAGAAGUUGUUUACUGGACACAUACACCUGCCCGCCAGCCCCUGCACCCCAGAGAAGGAGGCAGAACAGAGGGAGGGCAGGGGAGGAAGAAGGUCAGGGAGGCCGAGAACUUCGGGAGCACAGGGGCCUGCAGGUAACAGUGCAGCCAGGCAUCGGAGGAGCCUGCUUAGGGGAAGAGGCAUUGGGGUGAGGGUGAGUUCUGUGAGUUGCCCUGACCUACCUGUCCUGUGCGCUGUCAGGCUCCCAACCAAGGUCUCAGAGAGCCCCUCAGCUCCCUGGGGAUCCCUCUAGCCCAGGACCUCAGGCCUCCCUUGGGGACUCGAAGCAGCACUCCCCUUCCUGAGGUGAAUGUGAGCUGCAAGGAUGUUGCUGCCCUCUGUGGAGUAGGUGAUGAAGGACAGCAUGCUCUCAGGCUGGAGAGGAAGCAUGGGUCCCUGAGAAGCCGGAGGCACCAGCUGCACAGGACCCAAGCACAGCCAGGGCAGCAAAAAGGAUCUUCCAGUGAAAGUUUAUGGGGAGCAAGAGUCUUCAACCCACUCACCUACUCUGGUAAAACUUCCAGUUUGAGAUGAUUUUGAAGAAGGGUCUAUGUUUUAGACCACAGAGGAAGCCAGUACUUUUGAAUGGAGAAGGGCCACAUGAACUGACAGGUCCCUAGGAGGAGGCAACAUGGAACAGUGCAAACCAUGUGGACUUCUGGCACAUAGAGCUCUAAUGACGAUUUAGUGCCCCAAUUUUACACAAGAACAGAGAGACCAGGAUCACCAAACAUUUGAGAACACCUCUACCAUUACAAUUUGAGACCAAAACAUCAUAGUGAUAUUUCCACAUUGUGGUAAUGGAAGUGGGUAGGACUGAAUUGUGUAGGAAACCUCAGCUAUGAGAAAGCUAAAAAUACUCUUCCUCCAUAGAAAGAAGUCAACAGAGAAUAUAUGACUGCCAACAACAAGGAAUAGCAGUCAGUAAAAGCAUAUUUUUAAAAACAAGGACAUAAAAUUAGAAGAAAAAAACUAAAAUAUUUGCAAGUGGCUGCCUCUGGAGAGUGGGAUCAGAAGUGGGAAGGAGUCUAGCAGGAGCCUUGAGUUUUUAUUGUGAGCCUUCAUAGAGCAUUUGGUAUUUAUAUUUACCUUCAACCUUUUCCUUAACUAAUGUAAAAAUGAAACUACAAGCAAAAAUGAGUAGCAAGGAAUGAUGUCAGCAAAAUGGUGGCUUGAAAGCUCCCAGCCCUUGCUCCCCCAAAGAAACAUUGAAAGAAAAAACAGAAUCUGUGCAUGCUAAUUUUUCAGGAACUCAGGAAAACAGUAAUAAAAGAUUUACUGCAAUAUACUAGAUGCCCAACUGAGAAAAAGCUAUCUUCAAAAUCACAGGAAAGUUUUGUGGUGUUUUUACAUAACCCUUUCCUCAAUACUUUCACAGCAUAUUGGCAGUUCUGGUUUUGAGCAGCGACCCAGUUCCAAGUGGUUGUCUAUGAACUAGAAGGAGCAGUAUAGGUCUUCCUUGCACAUUUCUGUCUUAUCUGUUCUAACCUGGCUGGAAGACACCCAAAAGACUAGCUCCCUCUACCCUAUCUCAUAUAGCUCAGUCAGAACACAUGUAGAAAAAGUGGCAGGCACUUCUUACUUCUUGCAAAUGUCAUGACAAACCUACGGGGACAAAAACAAAAAACAAAAAACAAAAAACCAAAACCCAUAUAUGCCUGAAGCAAGAGAGUUUGGGUGAAUACACAAUAGACAUUAAAGACCCCAAGGAGAAGGUAGGUGUGACUCUUUGGGAAUUAGGAUGUUUAGAAUAAGCUAUGUACACAGGGGAAUUUAGAAAUUCAUGCACAUGCCCAGGUAAGGUGUGUACUCAGAGAAGUCCACACUUUAAGCUUUCCGUAGACUUAGAGCAAGUCUAGUUAAGUUGUGAAGGAGUGCCCAGAACAAAACCAAUCUGCAAAGACAGGGAAAUGUGGUUGUUCUUUCUGUUAAUUUUUUUUUAGUGGUUUUCCUUUUGUCUUAGCUCCUGGCAUUUGAAAAAUCUGUCAAAAUGUCACCUGAACAUGAACUACAGAAAAAGAAACUCCAGUGAUCUUAUGCAACCAGGAAUGGUCUUUGCAAUAAUAGUUUGAAAAAUUUUCAAACUGAGCAAACUGCUACAGGAUUCUACAAUUAAAAAACAAAAAAAUUAAAAAAACCCCAUUAGCCUAUAAGAAAGUAGGGGGAAACAUAAUUUUUAGAGUUAUUACAUUAUAAUAAUCAAACACCCAACUUUCAACAAUGAAAACAAAAUAAAAAAGACAAGACUUAAAAAGAAACAGAAAAACAUAGCUCAUUCAAAGAAACUAAAUAAAUGGACAAAAACCACCCCAAAGGAAGCCAAUACUUUAGACAUACUGGACAAAGACUUAAAACAUCUAUCUUAGAUAUGCUCAAAGAGGUGAGGAAAAACAAGAGUAAAGAAAUAAAAAAGUGAGGCGUGGUAGCUUAUACCUAUAAUCCUGGCACUUUGGAAGAUCAAGAUGAGAGAAUCUGAUUGCAGGAGUUUGAGACCAGCCUGGGAAACAUAACUGAAAAAAGACCAAAACUGGGUUUGGUGGUGCCUCCCUUUAGCCCAAGAUACUCAGGAGGCUGAGGUGGGAGGAUUGCUUGAGGCUGGGAGGCUGAGGCUGCAGUGAACUGUGAUCAUGCCACUGCACUUCAGCCCAAAAGACAGAAUGGACUUUGUGUGAACCAACAAACAAACAAAAAAUAAAGAAAAAAUAAAUAAAGGAAAUCAGGAAUUA